GAUGAACGCUGGCGGCGUGCCUAAUACAUGCAAGUCGAGCGAACAGACGAGGAGCUUGCUCCUCUGACGUUAGCGGCGGACGGGUGAGUAACACGUGGAUAACCUACCUAUAAGACUGGGAUAACUUCGGGAAACCGGAGCUAAUACCGGAUAAUAUAUUGAACCGCAUGGUUCAAUAGUGAAAGACGGUUUUGCUGUCACUUAUAGAUGGAUCCGCGCCGCAUUAGCUAGUUGGUAAGGUAACGGCUUACCAAGGCAACGAUGCGUAGCCGACCUGAGAGGGUGAUCGGCCACACUGGAACUUGGACACGGACCAGACUCCUACGGGAGGCAGCAGUAGGGAAUCUUCCGCAGUGGGCGAAAGCUUGACGGAGCAACGCCGCGUGAGUGAUGAAGGUCUUCGGAUCGUAAAACUCUGUUAUUAGGGAAGAACAAAUGUGUAAGUAACUAUGCACGUCUUGACGGUACCUAAUCAGAAAGCCACGGCUAACUACGUG
This 497-nucleotide ribosomal RNA is filed under the name uncultured bacterium. RNAcentral's name for it is "partial 16S ribosomal RNA". It matches the Rfam family "Bacterial small subunit ribosomal RNA", at positions 28 to 507 of the family's 1533-position model. The record is from RNAcentral.